GUUUUUCUGAGGGACAGUCAGCUUUUUCUAGACCACUGUCCUCUGCUAAGUUUCUUUUUACAGACACGGGAUUCCUGCAUCUGUAGGGUGACCCUGUGGGGAGUACAGACCACAAAAGCUCUGGGACAACCUGGGAACUUACUUGUUGUAGUUCUUAGUAGCCUGGACAGCAUGUGCAAUCUUCUGUUGGAGGUCCACGGGCAACAGAUGCAGAUCCCCCAAGACCCGGAUACACACCCCAUGCUUCUGGAGCUUCUCCCUGAUUGAGGAAAAGGAGGCGGCACUGUGACAGAGUGCCUGCUGCACAGGAACGGCAGGCAGCGCUGUGCAUGCGACUUCAGAACGGUGUCACACUCUGAAAGGCGGCAGUGCAGCACUGAGGCCCAGGCAUCUCUGUGUACCACGUGUGAGCUUGCUCAGAAGAGGGUGUCAAUUCCCUAAAACUGGAGUUACAGUGAGCUGCCCUGUGAAUGCUGGGAAUUGUGAGUCCUCUGCAAGAACAGCAAGUGCUCUUUGCCACUGAACCAUCUCUCUAGUUCUAAAGUAAUCUUAAUGAGUUUUGAUUUUUAUUAGCUUGUAGCUACAGCUACUAAGCAUUUUUCUCAGGCACUAACUGACCAUUUGUAUUUCUAUAUUUUAAAUCUGUUCAACUGAUUUAACUCUUUUAUUGACUCAUUAUUUCUUCUUUUGGCUUUAACUUUUUGAAAUUACAUUUAUUUUGUUGUGUGUAUGGAGGUCACAGGACAACUUAGAAGAGGCAGUUUGUUCUUUCCGCCAUGUAGGUGAUAGGGGUGGGAUUCAGAUUAUCACACUUGGUGACAAGAGCCUUUAUUCACUGCGCCAUCUUUCCUUAUCACCCAUCUACCACCUUCUGCUUUUGUCUCCUACAUAAUGCCUUGUCAAAAAUCUAACCUCGUCAAGCAGCUUGUUUUUGCCAACAGAAGGCUGUCAUUCAUAGCAUCCUGAGGAAAGAGUUUCCACAUUCUGGCCUACUUGUGAAGACACGGCAUUUGUAUGUGAGUAUGUGGAGACACGAAGCUUACUGAUUCAAAUGAAUCAUUACAUGCUGCUUGACAGUCUGUAUCUAAAAAAAAGAAAAAAAAGUCAGGCUGACUGCCUCAUCAAAAACAUCUCUCAGGCACAGAAUAUGGCAUUGUUGUGAUUCCUGAGACGGCUCAGCUGGUAAAGCCAACUGCCCCAAAGCCUGAUCCGGAAAGUUGUUCUCCAACCUCUAUAUGUACAGUAUUAUAUCGCCAUCCCAGGAUAGCCGAGUGUCACUAGACACUGUGCUAAAUUCUUUGUGUCUAUUCUUCUUUUAAGCCCCAUGAAGACAUGUGUGUUAAGCCACAUGGUUGAUAAAUAACAAGAGUUUCUCUCAUGGUUGUCUGCCUCUAGAGCCCAAAGUCUUAACCACCGGAAAAUGAUUAACUCAGAAGAUAGUACAAGGAAGAGCGGAUGGAAGCCCCAGUGCUGUCGUUCAUCUUCCCGACACUCCUCAUGUGGUGGCGACCUCAACCAAAACAUUAUUCUUGUUGAUACUUCAUAACUGUGAUUUUGUUACUGUUAUGACUCAUAAUGUAAAUGUCUGAUAGCGACCCCUGUGAAUGGUUGUUCAACCCCCGGAAAGGGUCAAGACCCACAGGUUAAGAACCACCACUCUAGGGAGACAAAUUUCAAUUCCCUGCCAUUCACAGCCACAUUCUCUCUUCCUUUUUCAAACUCAGGGUCUUGUGAUUACUAAGUAAGCAUCCCACCAAUGAGCUCUCUGGACACUCUUAAGGCCAAAAUUUCAGUGUUCCAGAAGGAAAAUCUAACAUUCUGUCCAAUUAUAUUAAGAGACCCCAGUUUGCCUUAAAAAAAUAAAAAUAAAAAAGUCACUUGUGCUGGGUGGUGGUGGUGCACGUUCUUACUCCCAGCAACCAGGAGGCAGAGACAGGCAGAUCUUUGUGAGUUCGAGUCCAGCCUCAAACUACAGAACGAGUUUCAGGACAGCCAGGGUUGUUACACAGAGAAACCCUGCCUCAAAAACAAACAAAUAAACAAAUAAAUAGAUGGAUAAAGUGUCACUCAGUACAACAAAUACUAGAAACGCAGCCCGGUAAGCUACAUUACAAUUUUAAGAUUCUUAUUCCGUUAUUUAAUUCCAUUUAACACUACGAACUGACGGACUGCUGAAAAUUUAAUGAUUAGCCGCUCACCUUUAUGAUUUUGGCACAGAACCGUUCCCAAAGUGACAGCUCUCCUUCUUUGAUCCAAGACAUAGUUCUUGCUAUGUCAGAAAUCACCCCAGAACAAAGUAUCGGCCAGAGAACCCUGAAUAAAUGAAGAGAGAGAGAGAGAGAGAGAGAGAGAGAGAGAGAGAGAGAGAAGUAAUCUGUGCUUGCAAAUAAACAAAACCGCCUGAAGAGACUGCAGGACUGUGGCAAGCAGCGAGCACCUAAAUCCAGCGACUCCGGUCUAACUUCACGGCUCAGGCCUGUAAAAGGCAACGGGAGACCUUUGGGACAGAGUGUCUCCCAUUUGAUUUUCCUUACGUGCACUGAUUUCUCCCAAACCUCCUGCCACAUCGUGGUGCUUACAUCUCGGGCGCUCCCCGCAACUUCCUUCAGUCUCCCUGCAAUCCAUCUCUCACUCGGGCUAACUGAUCACCAACCCCACCGGCUGCCGCACCCGUGACCUCGGUGGCCUUAAAAGCACGCUCCCGGCUGGACCUUAGUGCCUCCCGCGGCUCACUCCGUACCCGGCUCGCCCUCCUCCGGGUCUCUCCGCUCACUCACUGCACCUGAGGCGCCGCAGCCAGCGUCUCUCCACCGCUCCCGGGCGACUCGCGACGUGGCGCUGGAAGAACACGUCACCUCUGCGCGCUAGGACACGCCUCCUCGGUGGGCGGGGCCUCGCCUUGAGCAGGCAAACUCCGGAGCCGAGCGGUCCGAGUGCUCUGGAGCUGACUGUUGGUGGGCGUGGAAACAGCGGCCUGGGAGGCCGAGAUCACGUGACUUGGGGGGGGGGCGCCGGGGUCGAGCCCAGCGGCCCUGGAAGAGGUCAGCCCCACGCAGCGCGGGCUUGCGUGCUGUGGCGACUUGCUGCGGGGCGAAGCCGGGAGAGCUCCACCUCAGAAAUGAGCUUCUGUAGGGAGGGUCGUAGUGCUUACAUUUUGGGAGACUCGGCCACUCCCUUCCGGAAUCCUCGUGCUUCAAUCGCCUGCUGCACGAUUGAACUGAGUUUCUGCAAAAGCUCUGCUGCGAUUUUGUCUUAAGUUUGCUUUUAGCCGAAAAUGGAGGCGCGUUGUCACUCAGCUCAGCACUCAAGGCGGCUGAGGCCGGGAGUACUUCUCUGUUAAGUAGUUAGAGGUCAGCCUCUUCUAGGGGAGACUGUCUUUAAAAAAAAUAAAAUAAAAUAGCGUAUUUUACCGCC
Long non-coding RNA from Meriones unguiculatus (Mongolian gerbil), 3414 nucleotides. RefSeq lists it as uncharacterized. The transcript is spliced from 3 exons. The record is from RefSeq and is a predicted model, not a curated record. Lineage: Eukaryota; Metazoa; Chordata; Mammalia; Rodentia; Muridae.